This 1052-nucleotide long non-coding RNA is filed under the name Physcomitrium patens. RNAcentral's name for it is "long non-coding RNA (PPAT_LNC000140)". Lineage: Eukaryota; Viridiplantae; Streptophyta; Bryopsida; Funariales; Funariaceae. The record is from RNAcentral.
GAUGUAAUAGGACAUGAGUGGUUAUUUCAUGAUGAAUUGCUAACAAACAUUGCAAGCAAAGAGGUUGAAGUUUUUUGACUUCUAUGUUGUGAUCAAGCUCCUUGACAUUACAAAACCUAUACCUUUCUCAACAUACAUGAUGUUGAAAGAACUCUAACACAAGCUAGGUGUCUUCAAUUCCUUACAAACAACUCUAAAUGUUUGAAAUAUCGAGUUGCCACCAUAAAAUGGACUUGGAAACAUCAGAAGUUGUUGAGUUACUGCAUAUUGAGUUUUAGAGGGAUUACUGUACUCUAGUCAGUUACACAGAGAGUGCUUCGGCUACAGAAGACUCAACUCACGCAAGCGGACAAUGUAUGUGUGGAUCAGUAUCAAACUCCCGCCAGUUCGAGCAACACAGCAGAUGCUGCAGUAAAGAGUGGUGAGCUGGACCACGAAAAUCUGCUUGCAGCCAUUGGAUCCAUGGAUACUCCUUUCACGCAUCCGAGAAGAUCUCCAUCGGCGGACUUUGAUUACAUCCAUGACGUGGUGAAUUACUGGCAAUGCACAUGAUUCCUGUGUAGGGAGAAAAUAACUUAGUCGGUCACUGUAAAUCCAUGCGAGAAUCCAGUGAUAAUGGAGCACAUGGAUUUGGUCUCGGUGCAAAAUUGCCUGACCCAGUUUGCAGUUUGUUCUUGUGAGGUUUUGGAUCCUACUCUGCAGAAAACUUCCGUCAGCUCAGCUAUUAACCUUCUCUCCGCUUGAGUGGUAAAUUAUAAUUCCCGCUUGGUGUAAGUAGACGGAUCUCUAUUGAAGCAUGACGCAGGUUGUGGGGAUGUAGAUCUACGUCCCAGCCAUUUACAGAGGCGGGCUCUUUUGCAGAAUCUAGCGAGCAAAAACAGUUCCAUGAAAUAGGAACUCUUCAAGUUUAUGUCUUCUUUAAAGACAACGCCUCGUGACAUCGCAGCGUGCAGUGAAUUAAGCGAUAUAACAAACACUAUCACACCACUACCAUUGAACAAACUUUCAACGUUUUGACAAAUCAAUUACAUGCUCUUUCCUCCUUAUAUAAC